Long non-coding RNA from Myotis myotis, 725 nucleotides. RefSeq lists it as uncharacterized. The record is from RefSeq and is a predicted model, not a curated record. The transcript is spliced from 4 exons. Lineage: Eukaryota; Metazoa; Chordata; Mammalia; Chiroptera; Vespertilionidae.
CUCUACCUCAUCUCCUUGCAUUGCAUUUUGGGGGAUUUCUAGGGGCCUAUCCUCCUGUCACCAAAUUCUUUCCCAAUCUCAGCUGAGUCUCCUGAUGAGGACGGCCAAGGCAUUCUUCCUUUCUGGAUCCCAGCAGAAUUCCCUGAUGAGAAUCCGCCUUUCUGUGUGAUCACCUGAUGCUGCCCAGGGGGAGCUGAGGCCUGUGCAAAGGGAGGUGUGCUGGUCCGGCUGUGACACGGCCCUUCAGUGUAAAAUGAGUAAUCUUCCUCGCCCUGGAGGAGAGAGGAAGAGCUCCACCCCACAUUCACCCCCAAAAUGUAUGGAGUAAAUAAACACUGAACAUCUUCAGGAUGGCCUGACAGAGACUGAAAUGAUGGGGACAACUCACAGGCCCAGAGGGAGAGGAAGAUGACAGCUUCCAGUGGUGGCAUCCUGUGCACCAAGCAGCUCCCAGGGAGAAGGAAAACUGGCCUCAUCCUGCACCCUGACUCACCUGCCUCCUUCUCCCCUGCACAACUGCUCCCUUAACCAUGAAGCCCUCAGGACCAUGAGGCUGUGGUUGGCAUCAAAUCAUCUUAGGAAACAGAUCAGGUGUGUUGACUCCAGAGACAGAGUUUUGCUCAACUGACAUCUGGACCAGAUACACUGAUUAACUAUCCCCUAAGCCAGCGGUUCUCAACCUGUGGGUCGAACGACCCUUUCACAGGGGUCGCCUAAGACCAUCA